This 426-nucleotide ribosomal RNA is filed under the name uncultured bacterium. Its description in RNAcentral is "bacterial SSU rRNA". It matches the Rfam family "Bacterial small subunit ribosomal RNA", at positions 354 to 796 of the family's 1533-position model. The record is from RNAcentral.
GUGGGGAAUCUUGCGCAAUGGGCGAAAGCCUGACGCAGCGAUGCCGCGUGCGGGAAGACGGCCUUCGGGUUGUAAACCGCUUUCAGCAGGGACGAAAUUGACGGUACCUGCAGAAGAAGCUCCGGCCAACUACGUGCCAGCAGCCGCGGUAAGACGUAGGGGGCGAGCGUUGUCCGGAAUUAUUGGGCGUAAAGGGCUCCUAGGCGGUUCAGUAAGUCGACUGUGAAAAUCCAAGGCUCAACCUUGGGACGCCAGUCGAUACUGCUGUGACUCGAGUUCGGUAGAGGAGUGUGGAAUUCCUGGUGUAGCGGUGAAAUGCGCAGAUAUCAGGAGGAACACCAACGGCGAAGGCAGCACUCUGGGCCGAUACUGACGCUGAAGAGCGAAAGCGUGGGGAGCAAACAGGAUUAGAAACCCUUGUAGUCC